RNAcentral lists this ribosomal RNA (553 nucleotides) under uncultured bacterium. RNAcentral describes it as "partial 16S ribosomal RNA". It matches the Rfam family "Bacterial small subunit ribosomal RNA", at positions 355 to 900 of the family's 1533-position model. The record is from RNAcentral.
UAGGGAAUCUUCCACAAUGGACGCAAGUCUGAUGGAGCAACCCGCGUGAGUGAAGAAGGUCUUCGGAUCGUAAAGCUCUGUUGUUGGUGAAGAAGGAUAGAGGCAGUAACUGGUCUUUAUUUGACGGUAAUCAACCAGAAAGUCACGGCUAACUACGUGCCAGCAGCCGCGGUAAUACGUAGGUGGCAAGCGUUGUCCGGAUUUAUUGGGCGUAAAGCGAGCGCAGGCGGAAUGAUAAGUCUGAUGUGAAAGCCCACGGCUCAACCGUGGAACUGCAUCGGAAACUGUCAUUCUUGAGUGCAGAAGAGGAGAGUGGAACUCCAUGUGUAGCGGUGGAAUGCGUAGAUAUAUGGAAGAACACCAGUGGCGAAGGCGGCUCUCUGGUCUGCAACUGACGCUGAGGCUCGAAAGCAUGGGUAGCGAACAGGAUUAGAUACCCUGGUAGUCCAUGCCGUAAACGAUGAGCGCUAGGUGUUGGGGACUUUCCGGUCCUCAGUGCCGCAGCAAACGCAUUAAGCGCUCCGCCUGGGGAGUACGACCGCAAGGUUGAAAC